RNAcentral lists this ribosomal RNA (427 nucleotides) under uncultured bacterium. Its description in RNAcentral is "partial 16S ribosomal RNA". It matches the Rfam family "Bacterial small subunit ribosomal RNA", at positions 355 to 774 of the family's 1533-position model. The record is from RNAcentral.
UGGGGAAUAUUGGGCAAUGGGCGAAAGCCUGAUCCAGCCAUGCCGCGUGUGUGAAGAAGGUCUUCGGAUUGUAAAGCACUUUAAGUUGGGAGGAAGGGCAUUAACCUAAUACGUUAGUGUUUUGACGUUACCGACAGAAUAAGCACCGGCUAACUCUGUGCCAGCAGCCGCGGUAAUACAGAGGGUGCAAGCGUUAAUCGGAAUUACUGGGCGUAAAGCGCGCGUAGGUGGUUUGUUAAGUUGGAUGUGAAAUCCCCGGGCUCAACCUGGGAACUGCAUUCAAAACUGACUGACUAGAGUAUGGUAGAGGGUGGUGGAAUUUCCUGUGUAGCGGUGAAAUGCGUAGAUAUAGGAAGGAACACCAGUGGCGAAGGCGACCACCUGGACUAAUACUGACACUGAGGUGCGAAAGCGUGGGGAGCAAACA